Molecule: ribosomal RNA, 253 nt
Filed under: uncultured bacterium
Lineage: Bacteria
Description: partial 16S ribosomal RNA
Rfam family: Bacterial small subunit ribosomal RNA
Source: RNAcentral
UACGGGGGGUGCGAGCGUUGUCCGGAAUCACUGGGCGUAAAGGGCGCGUAGGUGGUUUGAUAAGGGUGUGGUGAAAGCCCGGGGCUCAACCCCGGGUCUGCCGUGCCGACUGUCAAACUCGAGGGCUGUAGAGGCAGACGGAAUUCCGGGUGUAGCGGUGGAAUGCGUAGAUAUCGGGAGGAACACCAAUUGCGAAGGCAGCUCGCUGGGACGUUACUGACGCUGAGACGCGAAAGCGUGGGGAGCAAACAGG